UCUCCGUAGGUGAACCUGCGGAGGGAUCAUUACCGAGUGAGGGCCCCCGGCCCGACCUCCAACCCUUUGUUAUCAAAACCACUGUUGCCUCGGGGGCGACCCGGGCCUGUCGGCCCAGGGCCCCCGGUGGACAAUUUCAAAACACUGCAUCUUUGCGUCGGAUUACAAAAGUUUAAUUGACUAAAACUUUCAACAACGGAUCUCUUGGUUCUGGCAUCGAUGAAGAACGCAGC
This 233-nucleotide unclassified non-coding RNA is filed under the name uncultured fungus. Its description in RNAcentral is "sequence contains ITS1, 5.8S rRNA gene". The stretch from base 185 to 233 matches the Rfam family "5.8S ribosomal RNA", at positions 1 to 49 of the family's 154-position model. The record is from RNAcentral. Lineage: Eukaryota; Fungi.